UUUUUUUUUUUGGGGAGGCGGGGGCUGAGGUGUCUUAAGUCCAGACAUAGUAGACAUAUCGGGAAAGAUUUGUAGUAACAUUUCAGACCAUUAAGCUUUUUUGUUUCUUGCUAUCAAUACUAGGAAAUAUGUCUUCAGAGGAAUUAUAAGAACUUUUUUGAAGCAUGUUAAUUUAGCAUUUGAAGCUUUACCAUUGAAGAACUAGCAACUACUAUUCAUAACAAAUUUUUAUCCUUCAACUGAGAAUCAGCUGGCUCACAUCAUUUUAACAAUCAUCCGGGAGCAUAAAUUCAGAUAAUAACUAAAAGAAACUUGCUUCUUGUCCCACCAAAUGAUGCGGCUAAAACAGGGCACCAAUCUUUUGUCCUUAAAGGGAGGGGAGAAUAUUGAAUGUUUACCAUUACAUGACAUCUAUUGUACCAUCACGAAUGAAAACUUCUAUUUGUUUUAUCUCAUUUAAACAGACAAACCAACAAGACAAGCCAAAGCCAUUGCUAUGCAGGGCAAAUUGGUCGGUAAAGGGGAUUUACUGCAGUUCCAUACCUUCCCACAACCCCCAAAUUCUCAAUAGCUUUCAAAAUCAAAACUCCUUUUGACAACGCAAGCUAUUGUAGCCCAAAACAAGUUAAAAAUUUCUCCGCAGCUUGGGAAAGUUUAGGUUUGUAUAAGUUGAAUUAUCAACGUUACCCCUUCUGAAGAACUGAAAGGCAUGGCUAUAGAUUUUAACUCUUUUACCCAGCACAUGCUUCUUUCCAUCUCUUAUUAUCUUUGAGAAUAUUUGCUGUAGAAAAGAGGUAUUCUGUGAUCGACAU
This 812-nucleotide long non-coding RNA is filed under the name Coffea arabica (coffee). RNAcentral describes it as "long non-coding RNA (CARA_LNC002379)". The record is from RNAcentral. Lineage: Eukaryota; Viridiplantae; Streptophyta; Magnoliopsida; Gentianales; Rubiaceae.